AUCGGAGUUCCGUCGAGGUCAAGCGCCUCCGGAAGAGUAUCUUGUGAAUUCAGUGACCCACCGGCGACGGAAAACAGGCGCGGCGAGCCGACGACGGCUGCGCGGCGUUGUCGUCCGGUAUUGAAAAUCCAAUCCGACGCAGGGUUCGCCCCCUUCCGCUGGGAAAAGACAUCCCCUGCGCCGUUUAGCAAGCGGUCACUUUUGCC
This 206-nucleotide non-coding RNA is filed under the name unclassified sequences. The record is from Rfam.